This 434-nucleotide unclassified non-coding RNA is filed under the name soil metagenome. RNAcentral's name for it is "partial contains 5.8S ribosomal RNA, internal transcribed spacer 2, and large subunit ribosomal RNA". The stretch from base 1 to 120 matches the Rfam family "5.8S ribosomal RNA", at positions 35 to 154 of the family's 154-position model. The record is from RNAcentral.
GAUGAAGAACGCAGCGAAAUGCGAUACGUAAUGUGAAUUGCAGAAUUCAGUGAAUCAUCGAGUCUUUGAACGCACAUUGCGCUCUUUGGUAUUCCGAAGAGCAUGCUUGUUUGAGUAUCAGUAAACACCUCAAAGCUUUUGGAUUUUUUAAUCGAAAAGCUUUGGACUUGAGCAAUCCCAACACCAAUCUUUUUGAGAUCGGUGGCGGGUUGCUUGAAAUGCAGGUGCAGCUGGACAUUCUCCUGAGCUAAAAGCAUAUUCAUUUAGUCCCGUCAAACGGAUUAUUACUUUUGCUGCAGCUAACAUAAAGGGAGUUUGACCGUAUUGGCUGACUGAUGCAGGAUUUCACAAGGGUCGGCAACGAUUCUUGUUAAACUCGAUCUCAAAUCAAGUAAGACUACCCGCUGAACUUAAGCAUAUCAAUAAGCGGAGGA